GGCCCUAGACCCGCGGAGAGGGAGUGACCAAAGACAAAAUCUGUGUGGCCCCCAAAAAGUCAAGGUCUAAUAAGCCCUUCGUCAGCUGCAGGUACUCCCUCAGGCUCGGGCUCCCAACUCUAGCUGGAGACCCGGACAGAGCGCCGGUCCCCUGGCUGCCUGCGACGCGGGGCACCAAGUCUAGCGCAGUGGGCGGUGAGGUGCGGCGAAGGUGAAGCCGGCAGCUCCGAGCGGUCCACGUUGCAUCCCCCGGGCGACAGCCCUGAGCGACUCCAGGACCGCCAGCCGGCGGGGCAAAAAAUUACAAAAGUAACCUGAGCAGCCCCGGCGUAAAGUUACAAAGAAAGUGAACCUCAAAAGGAAAAAAGGCCUGCACUCAGAGCUCGGCGGAUUCCCGUGCGCUCUGGGCACGGAUCUUGGAAAGCUGCGAAAGUCACCAAAAAGAAGCAGGCAAGGAAACAAAAGUUGCCCCAAAAGAAGAGGGUAUCCUCUGGGCUCUUUCCGAGUUCCACAGGGCAACGACGCGCGGGCAGCGGCUGCGGAGGCCGGGCGGAGGUUAACAAGGAGAGCUGGAGCAAAUGAAAUCCAAGAUGAAAGAAUGAAGAGGAAUAAAGGUUUGGAUUGCAAGGCACUGCCUGAAGUUGCAUACCAGCUGAGCUCCACUCUGAGGAACUUAAGGAGGGGGAAUUAAUGAAAGUGAAGCGAUCAAGAAUGCUGAACAUAAAUCUCACCUACUACACUAUUUUGCUUGCACUCAGUUCGACUUCCCAGGCUUCUCUAAUUUGUUCCUCAGACACUCUGGUCAAAUAAAUCAUUAUUCCACCAGUGAUGAUAACUGUUCCAAAAAGCAAACUAUCAGACACCACCCAUUCAAUCCUCUAGCUUUGAAAUGUGCCAGAAUAUUCUUGGCCUGUGCUUGGAUGAAUAAAUGGAUGGGGAGAAUUAAGCACUGCUGACUAGAAAAUGAUUUUUAAACACAGCCAAGGAGGCAUCAUUUUCUUUUUAUUCAGGAGGUCAUUCAAAGAAGACAGAAAGACAAGCGGAUUAUCUUUCUCCUAAAUGGAAUGCAGAAGUGGUGUUUUUAAAAUAGAGAAUCCAUUAAUGCUGCAUAAUAUAAAAUGUAUACAAUGUAUUUAUUCUGGGUAUUAAAUUAAAAUAUUAGAUGUACACAACUGAGAUAUUUUCUGUCAUAGUUUAAAGUUUAUCUGGAUUAUAGUUUAAGAAUGCUAUGGGACAUCUAAAGAAUUUUUGGGUGAAAUGUUAAAUUAAUCAUUUUGAGUAUUUCUUCUAAAUUAGAUUUGGUUAUUUAAUUUCCAAAUUAUAUAUUCAUAAGAAUGUUUUUAGAGUUCUAAUUUAUGUAUUUCUAGCUUGGUUUUCUUUGGAAUAAGCUUUCAUGAAAUAUAUUCUCAGAUAUUAAAUUAUUAUUCUAUUAUUCUC
Molecule: long non-coding RNA, 1437 nt
Filed under: Callithrix jacchus (white-tufted-ear marmoset)
Lineage: Eukaryota; Metazoa; Chordata; Mammalia; Primates; Cebidae
Description: lncRNA (ENSCJAG00000074102.1)
Source: RNAcentral